RNAcentral lists this ribosomal RNA (649 nucleotides) under uncultured bacterium. Its description in RNAcentral is "bacterial SSU rRNA". It matches the Rfam family "Bacterial small subunit ribosomal RNA", at positions 8 to 477 of the family's 1533-position model. The record is from RNAcentral.
AGAGUUUGAUCCUGGCUCAGAACGAACGCUGGCGGCAGGCUUCAUACCUGGAAGUCGAACGAUUAAAGCCCCUUCUGGGGUGUAUAAAGUGGCGAACGGGUGAGUAACAGGUGGAUAACCUACCUCUUGGCGGGGGACAACAUUUGGAAACGACUGGUAAUACCGCAUACAAUUGCGAGCAACUAUGUGCAUGCAACGAAAGGCGCGCCUGCUCCGCCGAGAUAUCGUUCCGACCCCAAUUGCCUAGUAGUCGAAAUAACAUGACGCCAAGGCUCUCCUGGGUAACCUCACUGAUACGUUGGGCGACCACACUCCGACUGGUGGGCGGUGCAAUACGGUCCAUGCUGCUAUAGGAGGGAAUAUCGUGAACUGUUGCCCACGGGGAUCCAGCCGUACCCCGCGCCUCUUCACGCGCAUACGGCCCUCAAGACGCUGUUAUCCCGCAAGAAACACCAACCUGAAGACAUAUCUUCCCGCCAUUGCCUGGCCCCCUUUGUAAUCGCCGUCCGCAUAAUUCCGUUACCUGCUCCCCUGAAAGCACUGAGAGGGCUUGGUAUUUUAUCUUGUAAAUUAUCAUGCCCCUUUAGUGCCAAUUUAAGGCUGCUUGCUCUAUACCUUUCAAGGGCAAUUUCCCCGGGGCUUAACCAGG